UCUGACACAGGUGCUGCAUGGCUGUCGUCAGCUCGUGUCGUGAGAUGUUGGGUUAAGUCCCAUAACGAGCGCAACCCCUAUCAUUAGUUGCCAUCAGGUCAAGCUGGGGACUCUAAUGAAACUGCCUACGCAAGUAGUGAGGAAGUGGGGAUGACGUCAAAUCAGCACGGCCCUUACGUCCAGGCUACACACGUGCUACAAUGGCCGGUACAACGGGCAGCGAAGGAGCGAUCCGGAGCGAAUCCUAAAAAGCCGGUCCCAGUUCGGAUUGCAGGCUGAAACUCGCCUACAUGAAGUUGGAGUUGCUAGUAAUCGCGAAUCAGAAUGUCGCGGUGAAUGCGUUCCCGGGUCUU
Molecule: ribosomal RNA, 353 nt
Filed under: uncultured Fusibacter sp.
Lineage: Bacteria; Bacillati; Bacillota; Clostridia; Eubacteriales; Fusibacteraceae
Description: bacterial SSU rRNA
Rfam family: Bacterial small subunit ribosomal RNA
Source: RNAcentral